Molecule: non-coding RNA, 554 nt
Organism: Paramormyrops kingsleyae
Lineage: Eukaryota; Metazoa; Chordata; Actinopteri; Osteoglossiformes; Mormyridae
Source: RefSeq, a predicted model, not a curated record
UGUCCUUGUUUGUUCAGGAACCGCGAUGUGAUAGGGAUGGCCAGUCGAUCUGCACUGCAAAUCCUGCGUGCUAAUACGGAAGCAUGCCAAAAGGCCCAUUUGGACAACAAAGAGCCAUUCUAAGUAGCUGAGAACAUUUCCCACGAUCUGGCAGAGCAUCUCGCUGGCAGAGUUGUGCAUUUUCUCAAGAGGCACGCAUCUCAGACCUCCUCUAAAGUGGUGCCCACUUUGAUACAUCCUUGCCUGGGUCUGUGCCCCCCUGUCACGGAGAGCAGGCUCCUGUUUGGUAGGAAAUUAGGAAGCAGGCGUCUGAUUGUCCUGUUUCCUUCUGAACCCGCACUGACCGGACGGCCGAGAAGCAACAAGCUGGAGCCGGAUCACUGACGGCGAGGCGGCCGGAGCGCGUCGCGACUUCUCACAGAUAGCCUUUCAUCAACGUCCUCAUCUGGAGGAGCGAUGUCUCGCUUUCACAAAGACCCCCAAGAAGACUGGCUCACUGUGUGUCUGAAAUACCUCCUCUUCAUGUUCAACUUCCUCUUCUGGGUGAGUCUAAC